GGAUGUGAGGGAGAUCUGGCUGGGAUAUGUCACCCCACUGAUCGCCAGGGUAGAUUUGCCUGAUCUGGCUGGCUAAGGUGGGUGUCCCCUUCCUCCCUCACCGCCCCAUGUGNNNNNNNNNNNNNNCCCCCCGAAGCUGCCCGCUCAGUUGCUCAGCCAUAGAGGAUGACCUUUGCCAACAGAGGAAGACUUCUUCCAUCAAGGAUAUAUGAGUAGCUGUGCUCUCCUGCUAGGACCUCCACACAGGCUCUCAAAAGUCAACUGAUCGUUCAUAAAAGGGAAACACCACUGAUAAUUUGUAAAAUGGAAACACAUUUGAAAACUAGCAACUCACAUUCUUAUGUUUGUUUAUAUU
Molecule: small nuclear RNA, 355 nt
Filed under: Ursus americanus (American black bear)
Lineage: Eukaryota; Metazoa; Chordata; Mammalia; Carnivora; Ursidae
Description: 7SK RNA (ENSUAMG00000026249.1)
Rfam family: 7SK RNA (bases 1-317)
About the family: 7SK was discovered as an abundant small nuclear RNA in the mid-70s but a possible function has only recently been suggested.
Source: Rfam by way of RNAcentral